UGCUACUGGUCCUGGUUAACACGUUAAAGGAUAGUAAUUUUUUUUUCUUAAAUUUUUUGGUAUUCUUAACCCCGAAGAUUUUAUUUUGGUUUUAAGUUUUAAUUUUUGUCUUUUUUAUAUACAUUUAUAUUUUAGAUUAAGUAAGUAGUAGAUAGAAUUAAAUAUUCUUUAUAUAGAGAUUUAGAAACGCAGAUUAGUACUAAUAAAAUUUGUGCCAGCAAUUGCGGUUAUACAAAUAAUGCAAUUAAAACUUCUUAGUUAAUAAUUAAUUGCUAUAUGAUAUAAGUUAAUUUUUAAUUAUUAUAGGUGAAAUUAAAUAAUUAAUUAAGUUUUUUAUUAAUUAAUGAUUUUUGUUUAGGUUUUUAGUAGACUAGGAUUAGAUACCCUAUUAUUUUAACGAAGAGAUUAAUUAUCUUAUUAUUAUAUUAUAUGUUAGUAAAAAGUAAAAAAAUUUGGCGGCAUUUUAAUCUAUUCAGAGGAACCUGUUUCGUAAUUGAUAGUCCACAAUUAGCUUGACUUGCAUUUUUAGCUUGCAUAUCGUCGUUUAUUAAGCAUUUUAAUUGAAUUUUAAUGUUUAAUUAAUUUAAUUAUAUAAAAUGUCAGAUCAAGGUACAGUUUAUAUGCAAGGGAUUAAUGGGUUACAUUUAAGAAAUUAUUAGUUUUAAAUUUUAAGGGGUUUAAUUAAAUUGGAUUUGAAAGUAAAUUGGUUUGUAUAAACUUAUUGAUUAAGUUAUAAAAUGUGCACAUAUUGCCCGUCGCUUUCGUUAAUAAUAUGGAAUAAGUCGUAACAAAGUAGAUGUACUGGAAAGUGCAUCUAGAAA
Molecule: non-coding RNA, 821 nt
Filed under: Lycostomus sp. YXY-2021
Lineage: Eukaryota; Metazoa; Arthropoda; Insecta; Coleoptera; Lycidae
Source: RNAcentral